UCAGAAAUCACUCAUCAAUUCAUUUAACAAACAGGAAUUUCCGGGAAAUCCCACAAGUUGUAUACAUAUACACAUCCAAGAGGCAAUCAGAGGGAGAGGACCAGAAGUGGUCAGAUUCUACCCCCAGUGCAAUCUGCCUCUUCCCCUCUGCUUCUGUAUCUCUUCAAACAUCGACUUCUACUGCCUCUCAUGGUCUCUGCCUGUUCUCUCAAAAUCUCAGAGUUAUUAGCCGAUGUCACUGAAAAGAAAUACACACGGUAUAGAAAAAUAAGGGAAAGGAGAAAAAGAAAGGGGGAGAAAGGGAGAGAGGAAAGAAGGAGGGGAGGAAGGAAGGGAAGACAUAUGCCCUGCAUGAGAGCAUUUUAACUGUAGCCUUUUUGAGGCUCCUGGGCUUUCUACUAGUUAGUGCCUCAAAUUCCAACGACAGGCUCAGUUCUGACUUCACACCUGUGACAGUUCUCUCAGGCAAAUGUGGAAAGCCCAAGUGUUUCAUCCCAAAGCUGAACUUUUUGCCAGGCUUAGGUGUUUGCUUCUAUUUGGAUCUCAAUGGCAGAAUUAAAACCUUAAUGUCAUCAUUUUUCUCUUUCAGAAACGUGUAAGCGUCCACCACGGCUGAAUCAGGAACAUUUCUGAACCUGAGUCACAGGAGGGCACAUAUCUUUGAAAUCCCCUAACUCAUGCCCAACCAGGAAAGCCCCGAUUUUAUUGUGCAAAUAUAAUGGCCAUAUGAAAUGGAAAGAACUAUAGACCUAGUCGUGGGUGAAGAAAAAUUUUAAUUCCUGAUUCUCGUGCUCCACCAGUAAUCUACAACCCUGAAGUGUCCCAUUAAAAAUAUAUGCAAGGUUAUGCAAAUAUGUACUCUUAAUCACUAGCAGACUUUCCCCCCUAAAUACAAUGCAAAUCCAUCCUGAGUUAUUACAGGCAACACAGAAAAGUAUUUGUACCCAAGCCGAAGAAGGCCUGUAACCUAGAACCAGAAAGAGUGGGCACUUUGUCCUUUCCUCUUGCACCCAUCGACCCUUGGCUCUCUCUGUGCCACCUGUUGAGAGCUGCCAGAUGUCAAAGUGGCCAAUUAGGACAACGAGGAAACUCCAAGUAAUAGUCAAGCUUUUACCCCCUUCCUGUGGGCGUAGAAGAGGCUGGAAAGGACAGAAGCGCUGGCUCCUCACAUUUCCAUCCCCCCACCCCACCCCCGAACAACACUGGGCAAGGGUCAGAUAAAACGCAGCAUAGCUUCGGAAAUUGCGUCUCACCACAAAGAGCACUGAACCAAAGGCUCCUGCCACUUUUAGACUCAGGAGGGAGGUGGGGUGAGAGACAGAGAAGGGCUGGGAGUGGAAAAAUGCCGAGUCCGAGUGGAGAAGAAAGUUUUCAAGACACCCUCUCCCGAUAAAAGGAGGUCUCAGCAGAGGCGACUAAAAAGCAUCUCAGCUGAGGACCCAAUCAGCAGGCCUCCAAAAGGAGGCUCCUGGGCUGGGGGUGCAGGUAUGAAUAUGAGCAUGGCUGCUGGGGCUGGGGGACCUAGUCCUCAACUGCCAUUGCUCCCAGAAAGUGCCAGGUGCUGGCUGGCACCAAGUCUCUGGUGUGGGGAGGGCAGCCUUCUCUGCGGGGCCUUCCUGGCAAAGCCUUUGUAAUUUCCUGUGCUUGGACAUAAGGGAUCAUAUGUAGGAAUGUGGCCUGGAGUUAGACCCUCAUAUCUCCCCAGGGUGGAGAGACAUUCCACCCUUUGCGAUUAAACAAAUGCAAGGACAAGGGUGUGCGUCCUACAAUUCAGAUUUAUGCUUCUUAUGUCUAGUUUCUGCCACUAUGGAAAAGAGCCCAGUCACUGUCCUUGCAUCUGUAGCCACAAAUUAAUAAUUGGGGCGGGGGGAGCAGGAAGGAGCCUGUAGUCAAUAUUCAUCCACUCAAAAGUCAGGUUGACCUGCUGACUCAGUGGGAUUAAACAAAGAGUUAGAAUCAAGAAGCUUUACUGUCUCUCAGAGUGGAGGGGACCAGACUUGUUAAAAAAUGUGUCCUAUUUUCCGCUACGUGGUGCCUUAAGGUCAUUUCUCAGUGCUGCUUCUCUGUUUUCCCACUGGAACUAACCUAAAAGUUGCCUUAAUCAAGCAAUGAUUUUAUCAAUUAUCUUGUUUUCCCAGAGUUAUAUUUUUAAAUAUCAAAAUCAUACAUUAAUUGAUUUGAAAGAGAGAUUAUACAAUGCAGUCAACUGAAAAGAUCCAAUUCAUUCUAACUUAUAAAAAUGGUGAUUUAUUUAUUUAUUUUUUGCAUCUCAGGGCUGCACCUGCGGCACAUGGAGGUUCCCAAACUAGGGGUCUAAUCGAAGCUACUGCUGCCGGCCUACGCCACAGCCACAGCAACACCAGAUCCNAAAGCAGCGACCGCAUGAUAGGCCAAAAUUGGAAAUGGUCAAACUUGACCAUAUAUUGAAAUGCUCUAUAUUAGCUACUAGAUUUUUAAAUUAAAAAAAAAAACCACUUCCCAUAAGCAAAUCAUUUUGUUUUACAAAGAAAAAAUAAUUUUCCCCAAUACAUUUUCUACAAUCUUCCUUAAUGUCUUCUCCAGUCCUACCAAGUCUGUGGUAGGGUUUUAGGGUGAAUCUCAUUGUUUUUUCAGUAACUACUUUCUUUGCAUUUUUCACUGAAUGAGCUUAAUUCUUCUCCUACGUUGAAAAGUUGACUAUUUCAAUUCUAUGUGUCAUGUUUCACAUCUUUUUAAGUUCUAGCAGGUUAAGAGGAUACAUAAGAAUAUAUGAAAAGUGUAAAAAGCAAAUCCACAGAUCCCGGGCAGGUUCUGGUGUGUCUUGUAAGAUAAGCAUCAGUUUUAGUGUGCAAUAGCCUUUUCCAAACAAACACAACAUACAGUGAUUUAUUUUUAUCCCAGUUAUGAGGCUGCAGGAAAAAAGAGAGAUAGAUGAAAAAGAGAGUGAAUAUAUAUUAUUGGUGAUAGUUUCACCACGGUAUUCAUUGACUUUAGUUGCAAAGAGAUACU
Molecule: long non-coding RNA, 2988 nt
Filed under: Sus scrofa (pig)
Lineage: Eukaryota; Metazoa; Chordata; Mammalia; Artiodactyla; Suidae
Description: lncRNA (ENSSSCG00060052165.1)
Source: RNAcentral